Molecule: ribosomal RNA, 469 nt
Filed under: uncultured bacterium
Lineage: Bacteria
Description: partial 16S ribosomal RNA
Rfam family: Bacterial small subunit ribosomal RNA
Source: RNAcentral
GGACGAACGCUGGCGGCGUGCUUAACACAUGCAAGUCGAACGGAAAGGCCCUGCUUUUGUGGGGUGCUCGAGUGGCGAACGGGUGAGUAACACGUGAGUAACCUGCCCUUGACUUUGGGAUAACUUCAGGAAACUGGGGCUAAUACCGGAUAGGAGCUCCUGCUGCAUGGUGGGGGUUGGAAGGUUUCGGCGGUUGGGGAUGGACUCGCGGCUUAUCAGCUUGUUGGUGGGGUAGUGGCUUACCAAGGCUUUGACGGGUAGCCGGCCUGAGAGGGUGACCGGCCACAUUGGGACUGAGAUACGGCCCAGACUCCUACGGGAGGCAGCAGUGGGGAAUAUUGCACAAUGGGCGGAAGCCUGAUGCAGCAACGCCGCGUGCGGGAUGACGGCCUUCGGGUUGUAAACCGCUUUCGCCUGUGACGAAGCGUGAGUGACGGUAAUGGGUAAAGAAGCACCGGCUAACUACGUG